GACGAGCCACACAAACGUUAUUCGGAAUUACUGGGCUUAAAGGGUGCGUAGGCGGCGCGGAAAGUUGGGUGUGAAAUCCCUCAGCUUAACUGAGGAACUGCGCCCAAAACUACCGUGCUCGAGGGAGAUAGAGGAAUGCGGAACUUACGGUGGAGCGGUGAAAUGCGUUGAUAUCGUAGGGAACACCGGUGGCGAAGGCGGCAUUCUGGAUCUCUUCUGACGCUGAGGCACGAAAGCCAGGGUAGCAAACGGG
RNAcentral lists this ribosomal RNA (253 nucleotides) under uncultured prokaryote. RNAcentral describes it as "partial 16S ribosomal RNA". It matches the Rfam family "Bacterial small subunit ribosomal RNA", at positions 524 to 776 of the family's 1533-position model. The record is from RNAcentral.